Molecule: ribosomal RNA, 744 nt
Filed under: alpha proteobacterium SCGC AAA015-K07
Lineage: Bacteria; Pseudomonadati; Pseudomonadota; Alphaproteobacteria
Description: SSU rRNA
Rfam family: Bacterial small subunit ribosomal RNA
Source: RNAcentral
GUAGCAAUACUUAGUGGCAGACGGGUGAGUAACAUGUAGGUAUCUGCCCUUUGGCCUGGAAUAACACGAGGAAACUUGUGCUAAUACCGGAUAAGUCUUAACGGAGAAAGCUUUAUGCACCAUUGGAUGAGCCUGCACUUGAUUAGUUUGUUGGUGGGGUAAUGGCCUACCAAGACUGUGAUCAAUAGCUGAUUUGAGAGGAUGAUCAGCCACAUUGGGACUGAGACACGGCCCAAACUCCUACGGGAGGCAGCAGUGGGGAAUCUUGCACAAUGGAGGAAACUCUGAUGCAGCGAUGCCGCGUGAGUGAAGAAGGCCUUUGGGUUGUAAAGCUCUUUCGUCGGGGAAGAAAAUGACUGUACCCGAAUAAGAAGGUCCGGCUAACUUCGUGCCAGCAGCCGCGGUAAUACGAAGGGACCUAGCGUAGUUCGGAAUUACUGGGCUUAAAGAGUUCGUAGGUGGUUGAAAAAGUUGGUGGUGAAAUCCCAGAGCUUAACUCUGGAACUGCCAUCAAAACUUUUCAGCUAGAGUAUGAUAGAGGAAAGCAGAAUUUCUAGUGUAGAGGUGAAAUUCGUAGAUAUUAGAAAGAAUACCAAUUGCGAAGGCAGCUUUCUGGAUCAUUACUGACACUGAGGAACGAAAGCAUGGGUAGCGAAGAGGAUUAGAUACCCUCGUAGUCCAUGCCGUAAACGAUGUGUGUUAGACGUUGGAAAUUUAUUUUCAGUGUCGCAGCGAAAGCGAUAA